UGUACAAAGGUAGCAUAAUCAUUUGUCUUUUAAUUGGAGUCUGGAAUGAAGGGUUGGAUGAAUGAUCUACUUUCUUUAUUUUUUAAAAAAAAGUUAAUUUUUGAGUCAAAAAGCUUAAAUUUUAAUAUAGGACGAGAAGACCCUAUAGAACUUUAUUAUUUGUAAAAUUAUAGUUUUUUUGAUUAUAAUUUAUAAUGAUUUUGCAAAUAAUUUUGUUGGGGUGACAGAAAAAAUUUUAUAACUUUUUUUAUUUAUUUCAUUUAUGUAUGUUUUUAUGAUCCUGUUUUAUGGAAAAAAGAUUAAGUUACCUUAGGGAUAACAGCGUUAUUACUUUAGAGAGUUCUUAUUGAUAAAGUAGUUUGCGACCUCGAUGUUGGAUUAAAAUAAAUAUCAGGGGCAGAAUAUUGAUUAUUGAGUCUGUUCGACCUUUAAAUUUUUACAUGAUCUGAGUUCAAACCGGAGA
This 463-nucleotide ribosomal RNA is filed under the name Dilatops fici. RNAcentral describes it as "partial 16S ribosomal RNA". The stretch from base 315 to 463 matches the Rfam family "Bacterial large subunit ribosomal RNA", at positions 2473 to 2622 of the family's 2925-position model. Lineage: Eukaryota; Metazoa; Arthropoda; Insecta; Hemiptera; Miridae. The record is from RNAcentral.